Molecule: ribosomal RNA, 449 nt
Filed under: uncultured bacterium
Lineage: Bacteria
Description: partial 16S ribosomal RNA
Rfam family: Bacterial small subunit ribosomal RNA
Source: RNAcentral
AACGAACGCUGGCGGCAUGCCUAACACAUGCAAGUCGAACGAGACCUUCGGGUCUAGUGGCGCACGGGUGCGUAACGCGUGGGAAUCUACCCUUGGGUUCGGAAUAACAGUUAGAAAUGACUGCUAAUACCGGAUGAUGACGUAAGUCCAAAGAUUUAUCGCCAAAGGAUGAGCCCGCGUAAGAUUAGCUUGUUGGUGGGGUAAUGGCCUACCAAGGCGACGAUCUUUAGCUGGUCUGAGAGGAUGAUCAGCCACACUGGGACUGAGACACGGCCCAGACUCCUACGGGAGGCAGCAGUGGGGAAUAUUGGACAAUGGGCGAAAGCUUGAUCCAGCAAUGCCGCGUGAGUGAUGAAGGCCUUAGGGUUGUAAAGCUCUUUUACCAGGGAUGAUAAUGACAGUACCUGGAGAAUAAGCUCCGGCUAACUCCGUGCCAGCCGCCGCGGUAA